Molecule: ribosomal RNA, 482 nt
Filed under: uncultured bacterium
Lineage: Bacteria
Description: bacterial SSU rRNA
Rfam family: Bacterial small subunit ribosomal RNA
Source: RNAcentral
UUGAACGCUGGCGGCAUGCUUUACACAUGCAAGUCGAACGGCAGCGGGGGCUUCGGCCUGCCGGCGAGUGGCGAACGGGUGAGUAAUGCAUCGGAACGUACCCAGUCGUGGGGGAUAACUACGCGAAAGCGUAGCUAAUACCGCAUACGCCCUGAGGGGGAAAGCGGGGGACCUUCGGGCCUCGCGCGAUUGGAGCGGCUGAUGUCGGAUUAGCUAGUUGGUGGGGUAAAGGCCUACCAAGGCGACGAUCCGUAGCUGGUCUGAGAGGAUGAUCAGCCACACUGGGACUGAGACACGGCCCAGACUCCUAUGGGAGGCAGCAGUGGGGAAUUUUGGACAAUGGACGCAAGUCUGAUCCAGCCAUGCCGCGUGCGGGAAGAAGGCCUUCGGGUUGUAAACCGCUUUUGUCAGGGAAGAAACGCUCCUAUCUAAUACAUGGGGGUAAUGACGGUACCUGAAGAAUAAGCACCGGCUAACUACGU